AGGUAAGCUACUAAGAGCGAAUGGUGGAUGCCUUGACUGGUAAAGGCGAUGAAGGACGUACUAGACUGCGAUAAGCUACGGGGAGCUGUCAAGAAGCUUUGAUCCGUAGAUUUCCGAAUGGGGCAACCCAAUGUAUAGAGAUAUACAUUACCUAUAUAGGAGCGAACGAGGGGAAUUGAAACAUCUUAGUACCCUCAGGAAAAGAAAUCAAUAGAGAUUGCGUCAGUAGCGGCGAGCGAAAGCGCAAGAGGGCAAACCCAGUGCUUGCACUGGGGGUUGUAGGACUGCAAUGUGCAAGAGGUAAGUUUAGCAGAACAUUCUGGAAAGUAUAACCAUAGAGGGUGAUAGUCCCGUAUGCGAAAAACAAACCUUAGCUAGCAGUAUCCUGAGUAGGGCGGGACACGAGGAAUCCUGUCUGAAUCCGGGUCGACCACGAUCCAACCCUAAAUACUAAUACCAGAUCGAUAGUGCACAAGUACCGUGAGGGAAAGGUGAAAAGAACUGAGGUGAUCAGAGUGAAAUAGAACCUGAAACCAUUUGCUUACAAUCAUUCAGAGCCCUAUGUAGCAAUACAGGGUGAUGGACUGCCUUUUGCAUAAUGAGCCUGCGAGUUGUGGUGUCUGGCAAGGUUAAGCAAACGCGAAGCCGUAGCGAAAGCGAGUCUGAAUAGGGCGCUUAGUCAGAUGCUGCAGACCCGAAACGAAGUGAUCUAUCCAUGAGCAAGUUGAAGCUAGUGUAAGAACUAGUGGAGGACUGAACCCAUAGGCGUUGAAAAGCCCCGGGAUGACUUGUGGAUAGGGGUGAAAGGCCAAUCAAACUUCGUGAUAGCUGGUUCUCUCCGAAAUAUAUUUAGGUAUAGCGUUGUGUCGUAAUAUAAGGGGGUAGAGCACUGAAUGGGCUAGGGCAUACACCAAUGUACCAAACCCUAUCAAACUCCGAAUACCUUAUAUGUAAUCACAGCAGUCAGGCGGCGAGUGAUAAAAUCCGUCGUCAAGAGGGAAACAACCCAGACUACCAGCUAAGGUCCCUAAAUCUUACUUAAGUGGAAAACGAUGUGAAGUUACUUAAACAACCAGGAGGUUGGCUUAGAAGCAGCCAUCCUUUAAAGAAAGCGUAAUAGCUCACUGGUCUAGUGAUUUUGCGCGGAAAAUAUAACGGGGCUAAAGUAAGUACCGAAGCUGUAGACUUAGUUUACUAAGUGGUAGGAGAGCGUUCUAUUUGCGUCGAAGGUAUACCGGUAAGGAGUGCUGGAGCGAAUAGAAGUGAGCAUGCAGGCAUGAGUAGCGAUAAUUAAUGUGAGAAUCAUUAACGCC
RNAcentral lists this ribosomal RNA (1313 nucleotides) under Campylobacter jejuni. RNAcentral's name for it is "partial 23S ribosomal RNA". It matches the Rfam family "Bacterial large subunit ribosomal RNA", at positions 1 to 1338 of the family's 2925-position model. Lineage: Bacteria; Pseudomonadati; Campylobacterota; Epsilonproteobacteria; Campylobacterales; Campylobacteraceae. The record is from RNAcentral.